This 223-nucleotide unclassified non-coding RNA is filed under the name Hevea brasiliensis (rubber tree). The record is from RNAcentral. Lineage: Eukaryota; Viridiplantae; Streptophyta; Magnoliopsida; Malpighiales; Euphorbiaceae.
GGGAAGUAUAAAAUUAGCAAUACAGAAGCAAGAAUAGGAGUAUCCCCCACCUAGAUCCAUGGAUCACUUGCCCAAACAAAUGAAGGAUCAAGUUUCCCUGUCAUAUCUAGAUCCCUGGAUCACAUUCCUCCUAUUGGAUUUGCUACUACACUAUAGGCAUACUGCCUCGAGCUUGCGUGUAUUAGUAGCUCCUGCUGACUGCUGUAACUUAAGUAUAACCACC